This is a long non-coding RNA of Scleropages formosus (Asian bonytongue), 1697 nucleotides long. The record is from Ensembl. NCBI's taxonomy places the organism in Eukaryota, Metazoa, Chordata, Actinopteri, Osteoglossiformes, Osteoglossidae.
GUUCAUGAAUUUAAGGUCCAAUUUUAUUUGCUCAUGAAAUUGAAUUUCCAUAAAUGGGCCUCCGCUCUGUGUGAUGGACACUAAAGAGAGACAGAAAGUGAAGGGUUCGAAUCCUCUCAUACAGGUGUACAUGUCUAACACCUUGCUGUGACUUCAGUGUCAAUUUUUCCGGCUCUCUCUCUCUCUCUCUCUCUCUCUCUCUCUCUCACACACACACACACUUCUCCAAGGGCGUUUGUUUGAUUCGACACCUUUGACUCCUCUGUUUCCUGUCCCUCUUUGAAUCCUCUCUCCUGCUCUUGUCCCAAAGGGUGACCAGGGUUUCAAGGGGUUGCCAGGUUCCCCAGGAAUUCCAGGUUUACCGGGGCCUUACGGGUAUCCGGGGGAGCCGGGCGAGAAGGGGGUUAUUGGACUGCCGGGAGGGCGGGUAAGUCGCAUUUUUUCACCUCCUCCAGUAGUACCGUCGAGCGCAGUAAAGUGCACUGACGCUUCUUCCUUUCCGUUCCCAUUGCUGUAAACAAGUAACGCUGAGCGGAGGGGCCCUUAUUGCAAACCCUGCACUGUUGUCACCGCAUGUGGACUGCUCUCCCUUCGUCUCCGUACCUUUCCUGUUUCACCCCCCUGUGCUGCUGCUCUUCUUCUGCGAACGUGAAAAUUCUCAGUUGAUGUCAGCAGGUCUUCUGAUCACCACGAGCACCUUUGACUUCUCCCCGUAAUUCGCUUCCGUUGGCUCCUAGGGCGCAUCCGGCUUUAUCGGACCCCCUGGGUCUCAGGGCAGACAGGUAGGGCGGCGACGUCACCCGGAAGAGAUACUGUCAUCUGUCAUCCCUGCUCUGAGAUUUUCACCGCUCACUGACUGUAAUCAUGCACACAUUUUCCUGCACAGGGCUUCCCUGGGAGUCCAGGAUUCCCUGGGCAACCUGGAUUUCCAGGAUUUAAAGGGGAGCCUGGAGACCCCGGCCCCCCGGGGCCCAUCACCUAUUCGGAUGGCGGAAGAGCUAUACAAGGACCCCCUGGUGACCGAGGGAUCGGUGGCCUCCCUGGUGAACCAGGUGACGCGGGACUUCCAGGCAUUGCCGGCAAGCCAGGGUUCCCAGGAGGCCCAUCUUCUGUCCCAGGUCAACCGGGGCAGCAGGGAUUCCCAGGUGCCGCCGGACCCAAAGGAGAGAAAGGAAGCAAAGGUCGGCCGAGCACUGGGUUCCAGGGCCCCCCAGGAAAACGAGGGCCACCCGGCCCCUCGGGACUUCCGGGUCCACCGGGCCCUGUGGGACCCGUUCCAUCUGCAACAUAUGGACCACCUGGCCAGCCAGGCCCAAGGGGGCCACAGGGGUCACCUGGAUUCAGAGGACCUAAAGGAGAUCCAGGGGACUGUAAUUGCCUUGGGGGAGGGGGACUUGGACGGCAAGGGCCCCCUGGCCCUCCGGGACCCUUGGGUUCACCGGGACUCUUUGGGAGGAAAGGAGAGGCAGGGGAUCCUGGUGUGCUGGGAAUCCCUGGUCCUCCAGGGCCAAAAGGUGUCACCGGCCCACGGGGCUAUUUUGGCCGGAAGGGAGAGAAGGGCAAUUCCUUCAUUCCGCCGGGCCGUGGCGCGAAAGGUGAUCCGGGUGCUCCGGGACUCCGUGGGCUCCCAGGGGACGUGGGACGACCCGGUAGAGAUGGCCUCCGAGGGUUUCCUGGACAGCCGGGACCUCCUGUGA